CUCCAGUGUGCUGUUUAUGUGGACUCACAAGCUAAAUAACAAAUUGUUAAGAGUUUAGGGGAGGAAGAGAUGGAAGUAGUGUCAUAAAAAGUGGCUGGACUUAUUAGAAAAGCUAUAGCUUAAUGCCACUGUCAUUAUACAUUAACCAUGUGACCAUGAACAAUGGUCCUCAGCUUCUGCCUCUUGUAGUGUGGAGUAGACCCUCUAUGCCUGGCACAGUGCCUGGCAUAUUGUAGCUCCUCAAAGCAUGUUACUGAUUGGAAUCUCAGAGCCUUCUAGUCCUAGGGGUCAAUGAUUUUAUAUGUCAAAGUGUUUACUUUAGCCAUGAAGAUUGCAACAUGUCUAAAACUGACCAUACAGUUUGCUAAAUUUUUAAUUUAAAUUUCUAACGAUGAGGGUAACUAACACCUAAUGAUCACAUACAAUAUGCAAUGCAUUUUAAAUAUGCUGUCUUAUUUAACUAAAAGCCGUAAGGGAAAACUGGUAUUAUUCAUAUUGCAAGAUAAAAGAGCAAGGUUCAGGGAUCUGAAUUGAUUUUUUAAAGAUCCAAGGCCUUGAGGCAGUAGGAUUGGACUGCUUUCUUUAACUUGCAGAAAGUUUGUUGAAAUGAAAAUAAAUAAUAUAUGUGGAAGGGAUUUCGAAAGUAAAAGUGCAAUACAAGCACAGGGUAACAUCAUCAUCUUUAUUCUUAUUGUAUGUAGGUAUGUAAAUUAAGAAAGGAGAAGUUCAUGAGUGGUGACCUGAGAGCUUCUACAAUAAAAUAAAGGGCAAAGGACUCUCUGACAUCUGUCAGGGCUUCUCCGACUCCUUUUUUGGGGGGAGAUCUAUGGAAGCUGAGAGACCCCUAAGUGUCCCUUUUGAGUUUAUGAAAGACCAUACACAAAUGGGCAAAUGACAGAUCAUGCUUCAUCCUCUGCCAACAGCCUCUUACAGAUAUUGUGACACUGUGCUCAAAUAAUCAACUAAUCAAAUUCAUUGGAACUGAGUUCAUUUGAAGUUUGCAAUAAAAUCACCUCUGGCAAAAAUUAAUUUUGCAAAACCAGUCCACUUUGCAAUUACCUAAAAGUAGGUCCUAAUUUAGCCACUUUUUGUCCACCUUGAGAGAUCUCCCUAACAUUUUCAUCUUUCUCUCCUCCACCAGCUGACCUGGGUUCUUCAUGCAAAUCUGUGCACUUUAGCUAGUGCUAGUGACCUGUAGCGACCCAUUAGUGAGCGAUCUCUUUGGCAUGUCAAGGCUGGAGAUAGCUUUCACUAAAUUACUUUUUAAAGACAUGUUACCCUUUCCUAGACCCGCACCAUCCAAUAUGGUAGCCACAAGCUCUUGAAAUGUGGCUAAUCCAAAUUGAAAUGUUCUCUAAGUAUAAAGUGCACAUCAAACUUCAAAGACUCAGUAAGAAAAAAGAAUGCUAAAUAACUCACUGUUAUAUUUUUUGUAAUAUUGAUCAUGUGUUGUAAUGGUAAUAUUUUGGAUAUAUUGUGUUAAAUAAAAUAUAUCAUUAAAGUUAAUUUCAUUCAUUUCUUUUUAAUUUUUAAUGUGGCUACUAGGAAAUUUAAAAUUGCUUAUGUGGUUCACAUGACCUUUCUAUUAGACAGGGCUGCUCUAGAAUAAUGGGUACCUACUUGCCUUAUUUCUGCUUAUUACUAUUAAAGGACAAAUGUACGCUUCGCUUUGUAAGGACGAAAACCCAAAGUCAAACAAAACAAAACUUCCACUUUCUUGGUGUACAUAAAACAGCUCUUCCGUGGAAAAAGCAAGCAAAUAGUCCAGUGGUUUUGAAAAUUGAAACCUUGCACAAGACAUUUUGCAGUAUAAAGAGCAUUUACUCAUCAUGAACUUGCAAUCAGUCUGACCUUCCUCUUAAUUGUGUUCAUGCGGCUCUUUAAAUGUAUCUA
This 1893-nucleotide long non-coding RNA is filed under the name Equus caballus (horse). RNAcentral describes it as "lncRNA (ENSECAG00000051760.1)". The record is from RNAcentral. Lineage: Eukaryota; Metazoa; Chordata; Mammalia; Perissodactyla; Equidae.